GCUAGAUUCGGACCCUUGCUUGUUGCCGGUGCUAUCUGGGGACGAAUUUCAGCACACAAGAUGUAUGGACAAGACCCGGUGCUGCAGAUAGAAUCAGCGGGACGUGAAACCAGUAUCGGAGCAUUCAUCGGAGUUAUCGUGGGUACUACAACGUUUACACUGGUAUAGACGGCUUCGGAACCUUGCUAUGAUGCCAUGGCGAAAUUGUGGACAUUGAAAACACGCAAUUUGUGCCGGUGAACUCUUCAUGAACCUCAACAAGAGGCAUUUGAGGAUUUGGAGGCAAAACUAUAGCUGGUGCCACACGACAUUAACACCAAAAGUACCUGACCCCACCCAAACGUCCAACUUAAUUGGCGUCGAUCUCUCGUGGGGAGUUAUGAAUGGGACCAUGGAAUGGCAAGGGUUACACCAGUAGAACGUGUCUUAUAAUAAAAAGAAGUAAUU
Molecule: unclassified non-coding RNA, 447 nt
Filed under: Yarrowia lipolytica
Lineage: Eukaryota; Fungi; Ascomycota; Dipodascomycetes; Dipodascales
Source: RNAcentral